CAAAAGUAAAACGGAUUUGUGUGGCAUUUGUGCUAUUUCAACUUUCUUGGAACUUGAAACGUUUCCAGGAAAGCUUCAUAAAUAGUCCCAGAAAAGACAAACUGUCACGAAGGAAUUUAAUCGGUUUCUUGGGGGGUGCCUGUGGGUAAGUGGGUAAAAUCACGGGCAGCUCCUCUGCCUUUAUUACUCUUUCUCAGCACUGACCCCAGCAGCUGAAGAAUCAAGAUUAGCAAGGAAAAGGGGUUUGCUGCAAGAAAUCUGAAGUUGGAAGAAUUCUGCUAACGGCAUAACCGGGAAUCAGGGGAAGGCAAGUGGGGGUCAAGGAGAGUAAAUUCCUCCUGAGGCUGGGUAACCCCAGUGACUAUCCUUUUUUCCACCCUGCACCUCAUCCAUUUGCAGUUUCCAGUACUAGCUCAAUACGCCACAACUUUCCAGGCAUCUGUGAGUAAGUAGCUCAUGGGGAAGAGAAAGAAAGGUCUGGAGGAGAGAGGAGGUAUUCGGAGAGGAAGAGAAAGAAGGGCAACUCACAACCAACGACGUGUCACCAAAAAAGGAAAGGAAAUUACGCCUGUCUUCCAACUUUCCACAUCCCUCAAAAAUUUAAGGAAAUAAAACCCAAACCGCAACUCCUUGGGGAAAACCCAGACAAAGUGGAGUAGAGCUGGCAGAAACGUGGGCACGAAGAGUGGAACCAGUAUCUGCACUCCGCUCCAUCCAGUUUCAGGUGUACAACAGAGUGACUUGGCAAUUAUAUACAUUACUCAUUGCUCACCACGUCCCUUGGCCCAAACCCUCCUGGAAGCCAGAGAACGAGGGAGUCUGGGAUAUGCAGUCUGUAGAGGCCAGCCUCCUGGGAACACAGGAGCAAGUAGAAUACAGGUGAGAAUGGACCUGGUGGGACUAAUGGAAUAUAAGCAGCACGGUCGGGGAAUGGGAGGUCAUUACAGAAAUCAAAAUGAGCUCUAAAGCAGUAAAUAAAUCUGCAGUUUUGGCACAGCUGAGUUUAUGGCCCUAUGUUCAUGGGUGAUAUAGGAACCCUAAAUUAAGAGAAAGAAAGCAGAGGAUUGGGUUUCAGCUCAUUCAAGGGCUAGUAGGUUUAUGCUGCAGUUGUUUUGUCUUCUGAUCUAGAGGAUUCUGAAAUAACCCCUCUAGAAUCUAUGUGGAUGCAGGGCCCUUAAUUUGCCUAUCAUUCUCCAGCUGUUGGAAAACAUCAGCUCUUACCUCAAAUUUACUAAUAGUCUCAUUGUUGAAGUGGGGAUAUCUGAUGAAGAGUUUGACUUAUGAUAAUAAUCCUUGGAGUUAGAUUGUGGGACUGCUGGCUUUCCAGAACCCUGGAAGGCUAAGGCAUGGAUAUUUUUUUUAGGAAGACCUUACUUUCUCCUGAUGAAUAAGUAAUAUGAAUAUGCUCUUACUCAGUUUUGUUCAAGAGACAAAACAUCUAGUAUUUAUAGACAUCUGUUAAAUAGAAACAUAUAGAUUCUUAGGUUAAGUCUUCUAGGAGGAUGAUGUAAGCGUGAUUAUAAAAGAGCAAUAAUAUAAAAGCCUGAGUAAAAAGGGGCAGGAAUUUGAAUGUUUUGCAAUUCUGAUAGAAAUUUACUUGUAUGAGAGUUAUUACAGGAAGCUGUGUGUGAUGGAGGAACCCAGACUCUAAUGAAAAGCCAUGUAAAUGUGUAAUUUACACAGCCUAAAUGAACUCUG
This is a long non-coding RNA of Acinonyx jubatus (cheetah), 1698 nucleotides long. RefSeq lists it as uncharacterized. The transcript has 4 exons. NCBI's taxonomy places the organism in Eukaryota, Metazoa, Chordata, Mammalia, Carnivora, Felidae. The record is from RefSeq and is a predicted model, not a curated record.